Long non-coding RNA from Anolis sagrei ordinatus, 288 nucleotides. RefSeq lists it as uncharacterized. The record is from RefSeq and is a predicted model, not a curated record. NCBI's taxonomy places the organism in Eukaryota, Metazoa, Chordata, Lepidosauria, Squamata, Anolidae.
AGUCAAUUGUCUAUUAUACUGGCACCAGAUCUAGGGAGAUAUCAUAAGAGCAAAGAAGAAAGGGAGAGAGGACCCAAAGGAAUGAAAAGGAAAAUGUUUUGAAUAGGGGGUUAAAGACAGAUGAGAGAACGAGGGGAAUCUUGAAAACCAAGCCAAAAAUAAUGAGGAGCCAGGAUUUUGCCUGACUGAGAGCUGAUUUGGUGUAACCGAUAUGUACACAAAAGCGGGAUGUAUGGAUGACCUAAUGUUUGGUUAGUACAUAGCUUAACAAAAUCAAAUCAGGAUCCA